RNAcentral lists this long non-coding RNA (402 nucleotides) under Androctonus crassicauda. The record is from RNAcentral. Lineage: Eukaryota; Metazoa; Arthropoda; Arachnida; Scorpiones; Buthidae.
CAAUGCAUUGUGCAUCAUCUUCAGGCAAGUCAACAUACAAUAAUUUAAACUUUUCAAACUUACUGAACAUUAUGUUCCAAGAGCAACAGAAAGAAGGUCGUGUCAUGGGCUAUGAAAAUAUUAGGACAAAUAGCCAAUUCAACUAUUAUUAUGACACAGGCACUCGCAAGAUUAAGGGAGGUAAAAUGAAAGAUGGGGUGCUGAUAGCAACGUAUGAUUAUGAGAGCUUAUACCCCCUCCUUGGAGAUUGAGCCUACUUGCCUGGCAUUUUAUAGGUUCUUCCUGAUUAAUACAAUAGAAGCACAAAUUGAAGCAUCUUUGUUAAGAGAUUUAGCGUACCUAGUGACACACAAGUCGUAUUUCACCUUCAAUGGAAAGUAUUACCUACAAUGUAAGAGAGUA